RNAcentral lists this ribosomal RNA (264 nucleotides) under Salmonella enterica subsp. enterica serovar Senftenberg. Its description in RNAcentral is "partial 16S ribosomal RNA". It matches the Rfam family "Bacterial small subunit ribosomal RNA", at positions 1 to 261 of the family's 1533-position model. The record is from RNAcentral. RNAcentral also lists the same sequence under 6 other names. Lineage: Bacteria; Pseudomonadati; Pseudomonadota; Gammaproteobacteria; Enterobacterales; Enterobacteriaceae.
AAAUUGAAGAGUUUGAUCAUGGCUCAGAUUGAACGCUGGCGGCAGGCCUAACACAUGCAAGUCGAACGGUAACAGGAAGCAGCUUGCUGCUUCGCUGACGAGUGGCGGACGGGUGAGUAAUGUCUGGGAAACUGCCUGAUGGAGGGGGAUAACUACUGGAAACGGUGGCUAAUACCGCAUAACGUCGCAAGACCAAAGAGGGGGACCUUCGGGCCUCUUGCCAUCAGAUGUGCCCAGAUGGGAUUAGCUUGUUGGUGAGGUAAC